GACGAACGCUGGCGGCGUGCCUAAUACAUGCAAGUAGAACGCUGAAGGAGGAGCUUGCUUCUCCGGAUGAGUUGCGAACGGGUGAGUAACGCGUAGGUAACCUGCCUGGUAGCGGGGGAUAACUAUUGGAAACGAUAGCUAAUACCGCAUAAGAGUAGAUGUUGCAUGACAUUUGCUUAAAAGGUGCAAUUGCAUCACUACCAGAUGGACCUGCGUUGUAUUAGCUAGUUGGUGAGGUAACGGCUCACCAAGGCGACGAUACAUAGCCGACCUGAGAGGGUGAUCGGCCACACUGGGACUGAGACACGGCCCAGACUCCUACGGGAAGCAGCAGUAGGGAAUCUUCGGCAAUGGACGGAAGUCUGACCGAGCAACGCCGCGGGAGUGAAGAAGGUUUUCGGAUCGUAAAGCUCUGUUGUAAGAGAAGAACGAGUGUGAGAGUGGAAAGUUCACACUGUGACGGUAUCUUACCAGAAAGAGACGGCUAACUACGUG
Molecule: ribosomal RNA, 495 nt
Filed under: uncultured bacterium
Lineage: Bacteria
Description: partial 16S ribosomal RNA
Rfam family: Bacterial small subunit ribosomal RNA
Source: RNAcentral